AGCUCCAAUAGCGUAUAUUAAAGUUGUUGCCGUUAAAAAGCUCGUAGUCGAACUUCGGCCUCUGCCGCCCGGUCCGCCUAAUUGGGUGUGUACUGGAGCGGUGGAGGCUUACCUCGUGGUGAACGGCCAUGCCCUUUACUGGGUGUGGUCGGGAACCAUGACUUUUACUGUGAAAAAAUUAGAGUGUUCAAAGCAGGCUUACGCCCGAAUACAUUAGCAUGGAAUAAUAAAAUAGGACGUGCGGUCCUAUUUUGUUGGUUUCUAGGAUCGCCGUAAUGAUUAAUAGGGAUAGUUGGGGGCAUUCGUAUUCAAUUGUCAGAGGUGAAAUUCUUGGAUUUAUUGAAGACGAACUACUGCGAAAGCAUUUGCCAAGGAUGUUUUCAUUG
RNAcentral lists this ribosomal RNA (386 nucleotides) under Rhodotorula sp. RNAcentral's name for it is "partial small subunit ribosomal RNA". It matches the Rfam family "Eukaryotic small subunit ribosomal RNA", at positions 587 to 975 of the family's 1831-position model. Lineage: Eukaryota; Fungi; Basidiomycota; Microbotryomycetes; Sporidiobolales; Sporidiobolaceae. The record is from RNAcentral.